UGGGGAAUAUUGCACAAUGGGCGCAAGCCUGAUGCAGCCAUGCCGCGUGUAUGAAGAAGGCCUUCGGGUUGUAAAGUACUUUCAGCGGGGAGGAAGGCGAUAAGGUUAAUAACCUUGUCGAUUGACGUUACCCGCAGAAGAAGCACCGACUAACUCCGUGCCAGCAGCCGCGGUAAUACGGAGGGUGCAAGCGUUAAUCGGAAUUACUGGGCGUAAAGCGCACGCAGGCGGGCUGUCAAGUCGGAUGUGAAAUCCCCGGGCUCAACCUGGGAACUGCAUUCGAAACUGGCAGGCUAGAGUCUUGUAGAGGGGGGUAGAAUUCCAGGUGUAGCGGUGAAAUGCGUAGAGAUCUGGAGGAAUACCGGUGGCGAAGGCGGCCCCCUGGACAAAGACUGACGCUCAGGUGCGAAAGCGUGGGGAGCAAACA
This 427-nucleotide ribosomal RNA is filed under the name uncultured bacterium. RNAcentral describes it as "partial 16S ribosomal RNA". It matches the Rfam family "Bacterial small subunit ribosomal RNA", at positions 355 to 774 of the family's 1533-position model. The record is from RNAcentral.